GACGAACGCUGGCGGCGUGCUUCCUUUUUGCAAGUCGAACGAUGAAGUUACUUCGGUAAUGGAUUAGUGGCGAACGGGUGAGGAACACGUGAAGAAUCUGCCCCUCAUUUUGGGAUAACUUCGGGAAACCGAGGCUAAUACCGAAUAUUGAAACAUAAGUGGCAUCACUGAGUUUUGAAAGUUUUUCGAUGAGGGAUGACUUCGCGGCCUAUCAGCUAGUUGGUGAGGUAACGGCUCACCAAGGCAACGACGGGUAGCCGGCCUGAGAGGGCGAACGGCCACACUGGGACUGAGACACGGCCCAAACUCCUACGGGAGGCAGCAGUAGGGAAUAUUGCGCAAUGGAGGAAACUCUGACGCAGCGACGCCGCGUGCGGGAUGAAGGCCUUCGGGUUGUAAACCGCUUUCAGUAGGGAAGAAGCGAAAGUGACGGUACCUACAAAAGAAGCACCGGCUAACUAUGUG
This 465-nucleotide ribosomal RNA is filed under the name uncultured bacterium. Its description in RNAcentral is "bacterial SSU rRNA". It matches the Rfam family "Bacterial small subunit ribosomal RNA", at positions 28 to 507 of the family's 1533-position model. The record is from RNAcentral.